GUGAAGCUGGAUUCGCUAGUAAUCGCGCAUCAGCCAUGGCGCGGUGAAUACGUUCCCGGGCCUUGUACACACCGCCCGUCAAGCCAUGGGAGCCGGGGGUGCUUGAAGUGCGUCGCCGCGAGGCGCGCCCUAGAGCAAAACCGGUGACUGGGGCUAAGUCGUAACAAGGUAAC
This 173-nucleotide ribosomal RNA is filed under the name uncultured bacterium. RNAcentral describes it as "partial 16S ribosomal RNA". It matches the Rfam family "Bacterial small subunit ribosomal RNA", at positions 1320 to 1500 of the family's 1533-position model. The record is from RNAcentral.